GUUUAUUGUUGACGACGAUUGUGUAAAUGUUUAAUCGAAUAGAAUUAGUGUAUUUAUAUUCUAUAUUGUUUGGUUUUUAAAGUAAAACUGAUGCAGGGUGGCAGAGAGCUCGGACCAACGCGGCGGCGUAAGCUUUCGCCUGCAGUGUCAGGAAGGAAAAGAAUCGGAAGUGCGUCGGUCGGGUAUGACUCGUUGGCUUGGUAGAGCUGAGAGUAUGAGCGUCUGUACUUAUCGUACAUAACAAUAUUGCAUAAUAUACACGGGUGUCAGGUGAGGAUUUGAAAACUUCAACUUCUCAACUUUUCUAGUAGAAAAAAAUCGAGGAAAAAAUGCUCUAAUCAUGGACUUCGAUGGAGGUUUUUGGAAACAAAUUUGAUUUAGUUGGGAUUUUUGAAGGUCAAAAUUGAAAAUUCUCAGUAUUUUUUUAAAUAAUCGGGAAAAUAAAUAAAAAUUUGUUAAAAUUGUUUCGUAACCUUUGUUAAACCGUGUUACAUGUUUUAGAUUCUGAGCGGCGUGA
This 517-nucleotide long non-coding RNA is filed under the name Acyrthosiphon pisum (pea aphid). RNAcentral describes it as "uncharacterized LOC103310133, transcript variant X2". Lineage: Eukaryota; Metazoa; Arthropoda; Insecta; Hemiptera; Aphididae. The record is from RNAcentral.